RNAcentral lists this ribosomal RNA (828 nucleotides) under Escherichia coli. Its description in RNAcentral is "partial 23S ribosomal RNA". It matches the Rfam family "Bacterial large subunit ribosomal RNA", at positions 467 to 1295 of the family's 2925-position model. The record is from RNAcentral. Lineage: Bacteria; Pseudomonadati; Pseudomonadota; Gammaproteobacteria; Enterobacterales; Enterobacteriaceae.
UAAAUACUCCUGACUGACCGAUAGUGAACCAGUACCGUGAGGGAAAGGCGAAAAGAACCCCGGCGAGGGGAGUGAAAAAGAACCUGAAACCGUGUACGUACAAGCAGUGGGAGCACGCUUCGGCGUGUGACUGCGUACCUUUUGUAUAAUGGGUCAGCGACUUAUAUUCUGUAGCAAGGUUAACCGAAUAGGGGAGCCGAAGGGAAACCGAGUCUUAACUGGGCGUUAAGUUGCAGGGUAUAGACCCGAAACCCGGUGAUCUAGCCAUGGGCAGGUUGAAGGUUGGGUAACACUAACUGGAGGACCGAACCGACUAAUGUUGAAAAAUUAGCGGAUGACUUGUGGCUGGGGGUGAAAGGCCAAUCAAACCGGGAGAUAGCUGGUUCUCCCCGAAAGCUAUUUAGGUAGCGCCUCGUGAAUUCAUCUCCGGGGGUAGAGCACUGUUUCGGCAAGGGGGUCAUCCCGACUUACCAACCCGAUGCAAACUGCGAAUACCGGAGAAUGUUAUUACGGGAGACACACGGCGGGUGCUAACGUCCGUCGUGAAGAGGGAAACAACCCAGACCGCCAGCUAAGGUCCCAAAGUCAUGGUUAAGUGGGAAACGAUGUGGGAAGGCCCAGACAGCCAGGAUGUUGGCUUAGAAGCAGCCAUCAUUUAAAGAAAGCGUAAUAGCUCACUGGUCGAGUCGGCCUGCGCGGAAGAUGUAACGGGGCUAAACCAUGCACCGAAGCUGCGGCAGCGACACUAUGUGUUGUUGGGUAGGGGAGCGUUCUGUAAGCCUGUGAAGGUGGCCUGUGAGGGUUGCUGGAGGUAUCAGAAGUGCGAAU